UGCCGCAGCCAUGGAGCGGAGGGCGGAGGCGCCGCCGCCGCCGCCGCAGGGCCUCGACUUCACCGUGGAGAACGUGGAAAAGGCUCUCCACCAGCUGUACUACGACCCCAACAUCGAGAACAAGAACUUGGCUCAAAAAUGGCUGAUGCAGGCGCAGGUGUCCCCACAGGCCUGGCACUUCAGCUGGCUGCUCCUCAACAUGGACAAGGUGCCCGAGAUCCAGUACUUUGGCGCCAGCGCCCUGCACAUCAAGAUCUCCCGCUACUGGAACGACAUCCCGGCCGACCAGUACGAGAGCCUCAAGUCCCAGCUCUUCACCCACAUCACUCGCUUCGCCGGUGGCUCCAAGAUCGUGCUGACCAGGCUGUGCGUGGCACUGGCCUCGCUGGCGCUCAGCAUGAUGCCCGAGGCCUGGCCCUGUGCCGUGGCCGACAUGGUGCGCAUGUUCCAGGCCGAGGACUCCAACGUGGACGGGCGGGCACGCUGCCUGGCGCUGCUGGAGCUGCUGACGGUGCUGCCUGAGGAGUUCCAAACCAGCCGGCUUCCCCAGUACCGCAAGGGCCAGGUGCGCAGCGUCCUGGCGCAGGAGUGUGGCUCCGUCUUCCCCUUGCUGGAGCAGCUGCUGCAGCAGCAGGACUCUCCGGGCUUCAUCAAGCAGAAGGUGUUGAAGUGCUUCUCCAGCUGGGUCCAGCUGGAGAUCCCUCUGAUGGACUGCGAGAACCUGAUCCAAGCAGCUUUCACCUCCCUGCAGGACCCGGAGCUCUUUGAUACAGCGGUAGAGGCGGUUGUCAAUGCCAUUUCCCAGCCGGAUGCCCAGAGGUAUGUGAACACCCUCCUGAAGCUCAUCCCCCCAGUGCUGGGGCUGCAGGAGCAGCUGCGCCAGGCGGUCCAGAGCGGGGACAUGGAGACGUCGCACGGGAUCUGCCGCAUCGCUGUGGCCCUGGGGGAGAACCACUCCAGGGCACUGCUGGACCAGGUGGAGCACUGGCAGAGCUUCUUAGCCCUGGUCAACAUGAUCAUGUUCUGCACGGGCAUCCCUGGGCACUAUCCUGUCAAUGAAACCACCAGUUCCUUGACACUCACCUUCUGGUACACGCUACAGGAUGACAUCCUCUCCUUUGAGCCGGACAAGCAGGCUGUGUACCAGCAGGUGUACAGGCCUGUCUACUUCCAGCUGGUGGAUGUGCUGCUGCACAAAGCCCAGUUCCCCUCCGAUGAGGAGUAUGGUUUCUGGUCAUCGGAUGAGAAGGAGCAGUUUCGGAUAUACAGGGUGGACAUCUCUGACACGUUGAUGUACGUGUAUGAGAUGCUGGGUGCUGAGCUCCUAAGCAGCCUCUAUGACAAAUUGGGUCGUCUCCUGACCAACACAGAGCAGCCAUCCACGUGGCAGCACACGGAGGCCUUACUUUAUGGUUUCCAGUCCAUCGCCGAGACCAUUGAUGUGAACUACUCUGAUGUGGUGCCAGGGCUGAUCGGCCUCAUCCCCCGUAUCAGCAUCAGCAACGUGCAGCUGGCCGACACAGUCAUGUUCACAAUCGGAGCCCUCUCAGAGUGGCUGGCUGAUCACCCUGUCAUGAUUAACAACGUGCUGCCGCUGGUGCUCCAGGCUCUGGGCAACCCUGAGCUCUCCAUCUCCAGUGUCUCCACCCUGAAGAAGAUCUGUCGGGAGUGCAAGUAUGACCUGCCGCCGUAUGCCGCCAACAUCGUGGCUGUGUCGCAGGAGGUGUUGAUGAAGCAGAUUCACAAGACAAGCCAGUGCAUGUGGCUGAUGCAGGCUCUUGGCUUCCUGCUCUCUGCGCUGCAAGUGGAGGAGAUCCUGAAGAACCUGCACUCCCUCAUCACUCCCUACAUCCAGCAGCUGGAGAAGCUGGCUGAUGAAACACCCAAUCCCUCCAACAAGCUGGCCAUCAUCCACAUUCUGGGGCUGCUCUCCAACUUGUUCACCACCCUGGAUAUCAGCCAUCAUGACGACGACCACGAAAGCACUGAGGUCAAGAAGCUGCCAGUGCAGCAAGGACCCAACCCAGUGGUGGUUGUUCUGCAGCAGGUCUUUCAGCUCAUACAGAAGGUCCUGAGCAAGUGGCUGAAUGAUGCCCAGGUGGUGGAGUCUGUCUGUGCCAUCUUUGAGAAGUCUGUGAAGACCCUCCUGGAUGACUUUGCUCCCAUGGUGCCCCAGCUGUGUGAGAUGCUGGGGCAGAUGUACAGCACUAUUCCCCAGGCCUCUGCCAUCGACCUGACACGACAGGGCCCAGGGAUCAUCCUGAUAUUGUUGAUUCAUUUAUGCAACUCCUGGCACAGACAGGUGAGGCCUCAGCUCCAGCACAACGCUUCUGUAGAUCCACACUUCUGUAGAUCCAGACUAGAGAACACAGGGAAUGGUAUCCAGAAAGAUCAGCAGAAGGUGAGAAGGAAAACUAGAGGAGAUGCAUGAGUCCUCAGAUGUGUAAAACAUAAGGCCACAGGCAUGGAUAAACAGCCCUUCGUUUAUUUUGAAUGCAACAAACAGUAAUGGGAGGAGGUCAUGGAAAAGGAUUUGGGUUAGAUGGUAGGAGGUGUAGCUAACAGCAAGGGGAAGCACUGACAGGUCGCCUGGGGAGCUGCUGUAGGAGGGCUUACAGGAUUCUCAGUAAGCCCAUUGCUCCUGGAGGGCACCAAGAGGUGAUCCUGCCUUGGGGAGUGAGGGUCUAGGCACCCCUCCAAGAGAGACUCCUCCAAGGUUGUUUGCUGUGUCCUUGGGAGGUAUUGAGUUUUUCUUUAGCUUGGGAUCUUUCUCCUUCUGGUGACAAUCAUGCUGCCAGCCCACCAUCUCCAGCAGCAGACCAAGACCCCAUGUUUCCUUGGGCUUUUUACUCCAACAACCUUACAGAGACCAAAAACUCCCUAUGCCCUUCCUCUCCACUCACAUGUGGGACUCCUUCUAAGGUUUCCUUCCCUCCCUGAGUCUGUGGCUCUCCCAGGGCUGAGCACCCAGCAGGGUACUGUGAAAGACAAGAAUGAUAAGCAAGAAAUGAAAUCUCUCAGGACUUCAGGGGAUGCCUGAUAGCAGAGGUGCAUCCAGUCUCACCAACAUGUUCUGCUUUCAUAAAGCUGUUUCUAGAGUCUGUCCUCCCUAGGUCUUGCAUCACUCUGUGUCUUUUUUGUGAAUUUAUGAGGUGGAUACUGGAGUUCCAGCCAGUUAUUUCCAUCUUGCCAGCCUUGCGAAGAAAAGGGACGUGUCCCCUUGUCUCCUGCUUGCUCAUACUUCUGAUACCUGCACAUGAGCCUUCAGUCAUGAGUGUGCAGGAAGCUGUCAGUGUGUGACUUAAGAUCUCAGCUGACUUUUUGGCAUAUUUAUCUGGGCUCAACUGCAACCCGAGUCUGCCCAGUUUGUGCAGCUGAUGACUUUGCCAAUGUGUUAAUUUGUGAUCUGCUCCCGAUUAUGUCUGGCAGAUCACAAGACCAUGCUGGUUUAAAUCAAAUGUCGUAGGGAUACUGGAGUCCCUGGAGUUAUUCUUAGUACUCAUAACUAAGUAUAAAUUAACCAGCCUUCCAUAAGCCUUUGCUGAGCUGUCUGGCACCCUUUGGGGUGGCCGGGCUGAGUGCAGGACGAAGUGAGGAGCAUCAGUGAUGUGUUUGUGAGUUCUUGCCUGGCUUCCAACCAGGAGGUACCACUUGUGCAUGCUUGUGGUCAUCCUGAGACAGGAUUUGGUGGAGUGCACACCACAGCCUGGCUCUUCCUAGGCUGCACGAUCUCCAAACCAUGAUGGCUUAUGUUGGCUCUUGGCUCAGAGCAGUUUCCAUGUCCAGCAGGAGCUGCUAGCUGGAGGCAGUGCCACAGGCUGUGGGAACAGCACUCUCCAGUUCACCUCCCCAGUGGCUGCCAGUGCUUCCACCCAAAGGCAUGCAGUUCACCACCAUUGUGGACCUCCGUAGCACCCUGGCAGUGUCUCCAGGGGCAGAAUGUGCCUCGCUGGGCAGAAGAUGUGGGACUUUCUUUGCCUGCCCAUGCACUGUCCUCCAGCUCCUCCUUGCCUGUGCACGGUUAUUACCUCCUGAGGCAGUGUUCCUUCCUAAGCUGGAGGUUCUAUUCUAUCAGGUGUGUACUUAGGGAAGAUAUGUUGGUCCUGGACGUGAGGAGAGUGCUCUGGAGCACUGCAGGAACCAGCUGUGCAGUACAUACUAUCCCUUGGCUGUGGGAGGAGUGGAGCUUGGUGGCCUCCCAUGUCCCCAGGUACAGAAGAGCUGCUCUUCAGACCUCUCUGCAGGGUGUCCCAGCUCCACAGAGGAGAACCAUGCUGUCCAGCCUGCAAGACCUACCUCCACAGCACCCACUGCAGAGGACAGGGGGGAUGUUUCCAGUGUGAAACAUCUGCAGACCUGUCCUCAUCCCAGAGCCACACUGGCAAGAGACAUGGAGGACAGACGAGCUGUGAGAAGCCCCAUGAAGAAGUGAGAUUCUACUGAGAAGAAGUAGCUGUGCCUACCCAGUGUGGCUUCCUUGUGGAGCAACUCCGCAGGUUUCCAUCUCUGUCUGCAUUAGAUGUGUACAUAUGCCUGGAUUGAGCUCACAUGCUGUGCUCCCUUGGUGGAGAUGUCCUGCAGGAAGGAGUCCUCUUGUAUCAGAGCACAUUCACUCAUGGUACUCACCAAGCCAGGAGCAGGUGCUGCAGAGGGCCCACAGGAGUGCCUGGACACCUCUGGCUACUGCAGGCCAGGCUGGCUAGGAGAAACACCAUGCAGGUAGGUGGAUUUGGUAACCUGAGCAUGUUGGAAGACUUGUGCCAGCUGAACAGCUUUGCGGAAUGGAGGAGUUGAUGACUGCGUGGUGGCACCAGAGCCAGGCAUCCUUGGCAGUAUGCUGCUGGGGACAGCCAGGUGGCUUUAAUGGACUGAAAUGACAACAUAUCUUGUGUGUGUUUGUCCAGUAUGGGGCUGAGCAGAGUGCAGCAGAGCAGGGAGCGGGUGCGCAGCCAGCUAGCAGGCUGUCCUUGCAGUGAGCAUGUGGGACAGGCUGUAUAUACACACACAGGCAUAAUGCAGCCCCUUGUCUCUCCAGCGAAGGCCACUGCUUGCAUCUAGCAGGCAAGCAGUUCCCAGUGGCUGUACCACCUCUGUUGGGUAUACAAUGCCUUUUGCACCCAAUCUGUCUCAUCUCUUGCAGUGUGUGAUACAGAGAGUCAGAAAGGAGAAGGGGUAACCCUGAAACUUGCCAAGCUUCCUGCUGUCCAGUUAUGUUCCCUGCAAGGGGUCAGUAGCCAAGGGUUUUCCCUAGAGGAGAAGGAGGACAUAAGUCUGUUUGGCUCCAGGGGGGCUGGGUGGCUGUGGACAGAUGGCACUCAGCACUGCUGGCUGAUGGCUGUCCAUGCUUCUACACUGUGGAACAAGUUUGGAGGGCAGCAUGCAGCUCAGCCCAUGGAACAGAGACUCCACUCCUGGCUCUCAGACUCUUGGGAAGAGCUGUGGCUGCUGUUCCCACUGUUGCAGUGACAGUGGGACAGGAUGUAUGAUUGUCGUCCCCUGUGCCUGCCAACAGCAAGCAGAAACCCAACCAUGGAGCAGCAGGAACAGGCUGAAAUGUUUUUGUCCUGUACUGCCCUGUUCUGGCAUAGCAGGGACCAAGCCCAGCAGUGGUCCCAUUGUGCCAGAGCUCAGGUUGUUCCCAGCCGUGGUGGAGUAGCUAAGCCACAGCAACUGGUGGGCUCACCAAGUGGCAGAAUAAACCCAAAGUUUUUGGUCUCACACCAGCUGCUUGUGAAUUGCCAAGCAGUUUCAGCAUCUCGUUCCCUCUACUGACCUGCAGCAAGAGCAGAGCAAGUUGUUGGCCUAGGCUGGAGUCAAACAAAAUGUGUGUCAUUGAAAUUGAUGGCUGUGACCUCAUGAACACUGGCAGUGAGAGGACCAAGCCAGCAGGGGCUGUUAUAUGCUGGGACACCUGUGUCCCAGGAGCACUGCCUCUGCCUGUUCUGGGACAGGAUGCCUCUGUCUGCGUCUGAAGCAUUUGUGUAUAUACCACUUUAGUAUCUAUCCUCAUGUCUUGGGGUCAGAGCUCCCCAAAUGCAAAUGGCCUGGAUGUAUGAUUGGUGUUUUCUUGGGGAGAAAAGCGACCGUUUUCCUUCUGUACUGUGUGAAUCUGCUGUUACCGUGCAUGUGCCCAGGUAAGUGUGCUCCAGGCAGAGGCUGUCUGGGGCGCCUGGAUCCUUGGAGCCUUCCUGGCUGCUGCUGCAGGGCUGUGUUUAUUCUGUCUGUCUGUGUGCCUUGCAGGCUCUGAAAAGGAAGCCAGACCUCUUCCUGUGCAGCAACCUGGACGUCAAGGCAGUAUUUCAGUGUGGUGUCCUUUCCCUCAAGUUCCCUGAAGCCCCA
Lagopus leucura (white-tailed ptarmigan) is the source of this 6339-nucleotide RNA transcript. It is a transcript of the gene named importin 13, with no coding region annotated. The transcript has 16 exons. Lineage: Eukaryota; Metazoa; Chordata; Aves; Galliformes; Phasianidae. The record is from RefSeq and is a predicted model, not a curated record.